GUAGGGUGCGAGCGUUGUCCGGGAAUUACUGGGCGUAAAGAGCUCGUAGGUGGUUUGUCGCGUCGUCUGUGAAAUUCCGGGGGGGCUUAACUCCGGGGCGUGCAGGCGAUACGGGCAUAACUUGAGUGCUGUAGGGGAGACUGGAAUUCCUGGUGUAGCGGUGAAAUGCGCAGAUAUCAGGAGGAACACCGAUGGCGAAGGCAGGUCUCUGGGCAGUUACUGACGCUGAGGAGCGAAAGCAUGGGUAGCGAACAGGAUUAGAUACCCUGGUAGUCCAUGCCGUAAACGGUGGGCGCUAGGUGUAGGGGGCUUCCACGUCUUCUGUGCCGUAGCUAACGCAUUAAGCGCCCCGCCUGGGGAGUACGGCCGCAAGGCUA
RNAcentral lists this ribosomal RNA (377 nucleotides) under uncultured organism. RNAcentral describes it as "partial 16S ribosomal RNA". It matches the Rfam family "Bacterial small subunit ribosomal RNA", at positions 527 to 896 of the family's 1533-position model. The record is from RNAcentral.